UGCUGUGGCACCCCUUUCUUCCCCAAAGCUAGUAGAAGGAGUUCAGGUGGCUGCUGGCAGGCUGGGGCACCCCUGUGGCUAGUAGAAGGAGUUCAGGUGGCCACCAGCAGGCCGGGCGCUCCCCGUGGUUGGUAGAAGGAGUUCAGGGGGCUGCCAGCAGGCUGGGUGCCCCUCGUGGGUGGUAGAAGUAAUUCAGGUGGCCGCCAGCGGGCCGGGCACCCCCCAUGGCUAGUAGAAGGAGUUCAGGUGGCCGGUGGCGGGCCGGGCACCCCCCAUGGCUAGUAGAAGGAGUUCAGGAGGCCGGUGGCGGGCCGGGCACCCCCCAUGGCUAGUAGAAGGAGUUCAGGUGGCCAAUGGUGGGCCAGGCGCCCCCCAUGGCUAGUAGAAGGAGUUCAGGUGGCCGGUGGCAGGCCAGGCACCCCCCAUGGCUAGUAGAAGGAGUUCAGGUGGCCGGCGGUGGGCCGGGCACCCCCCAUGGCUAAUAGAAGGAGUUCAGGUGGCCGCCAGCAGGCUGGGUGCCCCCCGUGGCUAGUAGAAGGAGUUCAGGUGGCCGGCGGUGGGCCGGGCACCCCCCAUGGCUAGUAGAAGGAGUUCAGGUGGCCGGUGGCAGGCCAGGCACCCCCCAUGGCUAGUAGAAGGAGUUCAGGUGGCCGCCAGCAGGCUGCGUGCCCCCCGUGGCUAGUAGAAGGAGUUCAGGUGGCCGGCAGUGGGCCGUGGCACGGGCGAGCUC
This is a long non-coding RNA of Gopherus flavomarginatus (Mexican gopher tortoise), 730 nucleotides long. RefSeq lists it as uncharacterized. The record is from RefSeq and is a predicted model, not a curated record. Lineage: Eukaryota; Metazoa; Chordata; Testudines; Testudinidae. The transcript is spliced from 6 exons.